Molecule: transfer RNA, 87 nt
Filed under: Bradyrhizobium sp. 2S1
Lineage: Bacteria; Pseudomonadati; Pseudomonadota; Alphaproteobacteria; Hyphomicrobiales; Nitrobacteraceae
Description: tRNA-Gly
Rfam family: tRNA
About the family: Transfer RNA (tRNA) molecules are approximately 80 nucleotides in length. Their secondary structure includes four short double-helical elements and three loops (D, anti-codon, and T loops). Further hydrogen bonds mediate the characteristic L-shaped molecular structure. tRNAs have two regions of fundamental functional importance: the anti-codon, which is responsible for specific mRNA codon recognition, and the 3' end, to which the tRNAs corresponding amino acid is attached (by aminoacyl-tRNA synthetases). tRNAs cope with the degeneracy of the genetic code in two manners: having more than one tRNA (with a specific anti-codon) for a particular amino acid; and 'wobble' base-pairing, i.e. permitting non-standard base-pairing at the 3rd anti-codon position.
Source: RNAcentral
GCCGUCAUGGCGGAAUUGGUAGACGCACCGGCCUUCCAAGCCGGUAUCUUCGCAGGUGUGAGGGUUCGAGUCCCUCUGACGGCACCA